Molecule: ribosomal RNA, 519 nt
Filed under: uncultured bacterium
Lineage: Bacteria
Description: partial 16S ribosomal RNA
Rfam family: Bacterial small subunit ribosomal RNA
Source: RNAcentral
UGGGGAAUAUUGGACAAUGGGCGCAAGCCUGAUCCAGCAAUGCCGCGUGUGUGAAGAAGGCCUUCGGGUUGUAAAGCACUUUUAUCAGGAGCGAAACGCUGUCGGCUAAUACCCGGCGGAACUGACGGUACCUGAGGAAUAAGCACCGGCUAACUUCGUGCCAGCAGCCGCGGUAAUACGAAGGGUGCAAGCGUUAAUCGGAAUUACUGGGCGUAAAGCGUGCGUAGGCGGUUUCUUAAGUCUGCUGUGAAAUCCCCGGGCUCAACCUGGGAAUGGCAGUGGAUACUGGGAGGCUAGAGUGUGUCAGAGGGUGGUGGAAUUCCCGGUGUAGCGGUGAAAUGCGUAGAGAUCGGGAGGAACAUCAGUGGCGAAGGCGGCCACCUGGGACAACACUGACGCUGAGGCACGAAAGCGUGGGGAGCAAACAGGAUUAGAUACCCUGGUAGUCCACGCCCUAAAGCGAUGCGAACUGGAUGUUGGUCUCAACUCGGAGAUCAGUGUCGAAGCUAACGCGUUAAG